RNAcentral lists this ribosomal RNA (775 nucleotides) under uncultured Neocallimastigales. RNAcentral's name for it is "partial large subunit ribosomal RNA". It matches the Rfam family "Eukaryotic large subunit ribosomal RNA", at positions 26 to 615 of the family's 3401-position model. The record is from RNAcentral. Lineage: Eukaryota; Fungi; Neocallimastigomycota; Neocallimastigomycetes; Neocallimastigales.
CGCAUCUGUGCAUGCAGCAUAUCAAUAAGCGGAGGAAAAGAAACUAACAAGGAUUCCCUUAGUAACGGCGAGUGAAGCGGGAAGAGCUCAAAUUUGAAAUCUUCAAGGUUUUACCUUGACGAAUUGUAGUUUAAAGAAGUGUUUUCUGUUGAAGUUUUGGUAAAAGUUCUUUGGAAUAGGACAUCAUAGAGGGUGAGAAGUCCCGUAUUUGACCAUUAUUUUCAGCUGUGUGAUACACUUUCAAAGAGUCGGAUUGUUUGGGAAUGCAGUCCAAAAUGGGUGGUAAAUUUCAUCUAAAGCUAAAUAUUGGCGAGAGACCGAUAGCGAACAAGUACCGUGAGGGAAAGAUGAAAAGAACUUUGAAAAGAGAGUUAAACAGUACGUGAAAUUGUCAAAAGGGAAGCGUUUGACACCAGUGUUGUUUUCUCGAAAAUCAAUUAAAAAGAGUUAGAUUUUGUUGUGUAUUGACCUUAACAGCUUGCAUUUCAAUUUUCUUGCUUUUUUUAAUGCACUUUUCGUUUAACAAGUCAACAUCAGUUUCUUUUGUUGUAAAAAGGUCAUUGGAAGGUGGCUUUCUUUUCGGAAGAAAGUGUUUAUAGCCUUUGACUCCUGCAAUCGGAGAGACUGAGGUCUGCAGCGUAGAUCCUUCGGGGUUAGAUACAUUUGUGCUAAGUUAUAGCUUUUUAUAGACAACUUGUUGACUAUGAUUAGUCUUGUAGCUUACUCGCUUAUGCUAUUUUACCUACGCUUAGGAUGUUGAACUCUAUCACACACA